CACGUAGGGGGCGAGCGUUGUCCGGAUUUAUUGGGCGUAAAGAGCUCGUAGGCGGCUUAGUAAGUCAGGUGUGAAACCUCCAGGCUCAACCUGGAGACGCCACCUGAUACUGCUGUGGCUAGAGUCCGUUAGGGGAGCAGGGAACUCCUGGUGUAGCGGUGAAAUGCGCAGAUAUCAGGAAGAACACCAGCGGCGAAGGCGCUGCUCUGGGCCGGAACUGACGCUGAGGAGCGAAAGCGUGGGGAGCAAACAGG
RNAcentral lists this ribosomal RNA (254 nucleotides) under uncultured bacterium. RNAcentral describes it as "partial 16S ribosomal RNA". It matches the Rfam family "Bacterial small subunit ribosomal RNA", at positions 524 to 776 of the family's 1533-position model. The record is from RNAcentral.